Molecule: ribosomal RNA, 279 nt
Filed under: uncultured bacterium
Lineage: Bacteria
Description: partial 16S ribosomal RNA
Rfam family: Bacterial small subunit ribosomal RNA
Source: RNAcentral
UGCCAGCCGCCGCGGUAAGACAGAGGGUGCAAGCGUCGUUCGGAAUCAUUGGGCGUAAAGCGCACGUAGGCGGUUCUGCAAGUCGGAUGUGAAAGCCCAGGGCUCAACCUUGGAAGUGCAUCCGAAACUGCCGAACUAGAAUCCCGGAGAGGGUGGUGGAAUUCCUGGUGUAGAGGUGAAAUUCGUAGAUAUCAGGAGGAACACCCGUGGCGAAGGCGGCCACCUGGACGGAGAUUGACGCUGAGGUGCGAAAGCGUGGGUAGCAAACAGGAUUAGAUA